Molecule: non-coding RNA, 1307 nt
Organism: Lolium perenne
Lineage: Eukaryota; Viridiplantae; Streptophyta; Magnoliopsida; Poales; Poaceae
Source: RefSeq, a predicted model, not a curated record
UUUGCAUGCUAACCGUGCACCUCCCGAUGCUAUCUGCCUGUCUUAAUUUGCACUCCAUCAAACUGUAAUUUUCUGGUAAUGUUGGUCAUGUGGUUCAUAGUUUCUGGUAAUGUUUGCAUGCUAACCGUGAAAUUGUAGCAGGGAUAGGACAAAUUACUAUGAAAUAUACAUUGUGAAAAAUGCAUGCUAAAACUUGUGAUAUUCCCAGUUCGUUAAAAUACGAAUGUGAAUUCUGCAUUUUUCUGAACUGUGAUGCCUUUUCAUCACAUAGGAUGAACUAAUCAGUAAGGCUGCGUUUGGCAGCAAAGUAUUUGAGCUGUGUUUGGCUAUUUUGCAUCCUCAUCCUAAGCUUAUGGCCUAUAUGUGUUUGGAGUUAUUUUGACAUAGUAAUUCUUGUUCAAAUAGUGUUAAUGCUUCUCCACAAAUGUACUGAAGGUGGUUCCUGAAUUUGAAUUGUUUGUACGACAAUAUUGACCGAGAGCACUUAGUUCUGAAAACCGAUUUUAUAUACCAGUUCAUUCAGUUGUGAGAACCGAAUCUCCUGGUUGUAGAUGGCAUUCAUGCUUAACAGGUAUUAACAGGUGUGUGCUGCAGAAUGUUGUUCCGACGGCGAUCGGCGUGUUAGAGUGUCUCCGGCGGCGAUCGUGGAUGCUGGAGAGGGGGAGCGCUUCGACGGCGAUCGUGGUUGCUGCUGAGCGGGAGCGCUGCGGCGGCGAGCGGGAGCGCUGCGGCGGCGAUCGUGGUCACUGGCGAGCGGGAGAGCUGCGGCGGCGAGCGGGAGAGCUGCGGCGGCGAGCGGGAGAGCUGCGGCGGCGAGCUGGAGUUCUGCGGUGGCGAUCGUGGUCGCCGGCGAGCGGGAGAGCUGCGGCGGCGAGCGGGAGCGGUGCGGCGGCGAUCGUGGUCGCUGGCGAGCGGGAGAGAUGCGGCGGCGAGCUGGAGUUCUGCGGCGGCGAUCGUGGUCGCCGGCGAGCGGGAGAGCUGCGGCGGCGAGCGGGAGCGCUGCGGCGGCGAUCGUGGUCGCUGGCGAGCGGGAGAGCUGCGGCGAGCGAGCGGGAGAGCUGCGGCGGCGAGCUGGAGUUCUGCGGCGGCGAUCGUGGUCGCCGGCGAGCGGGAGAGCUGCGGCGGCUAGCGGGAGCGCUGCGGCGAGCGAGAGUGCUGCGUGCUUGACGGUUGCCGUGAGUGGUUAUUUUUUAUUAGACAUGGUGUUCGUGGGCUGUACCGAUUGGAAAAUAGUCUGUGCGUUUUGGGCGUGGGAAUGGGUGUUCUGCUCCAUCAAACAUUGAAACGAUGUGGUGCGUUGGAUUAAA